UCCUCAGUGGCUGAAAUGGUAAAGAAUCUGCCUAUAAUGCAGGAGACCCAGCUUCGAUCCCUGGAUGGGGAA
This 72-nucleotide transfer RNA is filed under the name Ovis aries (sheep). It matches the Rfam family "tRNA". Rfam says of the family: Transfer RNA (tRNA) molecules are approximately 80 nucleotides in length. Their secondary structure includes four short double-helical elements and three loops (D, anti-codon, and T loops). Lineage: Eukaryota; Metazoa; Chordata; Mammalia; Artiodactyla; Bovidae. The record is from Rfam by way of RNAcentral.